RNAcentral lists this unclassified non-coding RNA (1558 nucleotides) under Daphnia pulex (common water flea). RNAcentral describes it as "uncharacterized LOC124204492, transcript variant X3". Lineage: Eukaryota; Metazoa; Arthropoda; Branchiopoda; Diplostraca; Daphniidae. The record is from RNAcentral.
UCACAAACUUCAUGAUUAUCAUUAGUCUCGUUCGUAUGCAUUUGAAAAAUUUCAAUCCUUCCUCUGUUAUUUUGCAGAGGUAAUCUGUGUUUUUGCUUAGAUAAUAUAUUUAGGUAUGAGUGAUAUUGACAAAAUGGAAUUAGCUUUGGUCCUUUGUCGAGGUGAGUUAAGGCCAACUUUUAAUCGGUAUUGCUCUUCUAAUUGAGAUAUGACAGUCUAAUUCAUCCUUACCUACAUUGUCUGGGGGUGUCCUUUUAUUUUAAAGAUGUUAUGUGUUGUCUAUUUAUUGAAUCUGAUGCUUUAUCUUUAGGUUGUGCAAUUCGACUAGUGAGUUGGAUAUGAGAAAAUCACUUCAAAGAUGAAACAUCUGGUUUACUGUGUGUUGGAUCCCCGUUUUUUUUUGCUGUGACAUCCUUCAGGUUUGGAUUCCGCUUGGUCCGUUUAUAGUCUUGCUACCGUCUGUUGUUCGUGAUGCUUCGGCGUUGCACUCCUUGCAUUACUCGUUUCAUGGUGGUGGUUAAAUGGCUUAGUAUGUUGACGGUUAUGAUUCACGGUGGCAGGAGGUUCGAAUUUGUGUUGGUAUUUUGUGCUAAUAUGCUGUUUUCUGUCUUCAGGUCUUCUGCGGUGGGGAGGUUAGUGUUUCUAUUGUCAGCGGCGCAUCCCAAGAUUGCCUUGCAUUUUACGGGUGGCAUAUUCACCUGCUUAGGUUGGUUGCUACCCUGAAUCUCACUUACUCCUUUCCUCAAGUGAUGGAUGUGGACAUUUUUGAUGGAGUCGGUGUGCAGUUUUCACGUUCCCUGUUGGACGUUUUCUAAUGAUUCCUGCCAAGCUGUAGGUCGCCCCGUUACCGAACUGUUUGCGUCAAUCGGGUUUCGCUGAGGUGCGUUGUGGAUUUUUUUACUGGGCUGCUUCCCUAGGAGGCUUCGUCCGCUUUACCCCCUUGAGACCAGUAUUGCCACCGUUUGUUCGUAAUUAGGGCUGAGUGUGCAGAUUUCUUUGGCCUGUUUGCUUCAUGUUGAGUGUCUGCUGUGUUAGAAUGGGUUAAGGUUAUAUGGGAAGAAAAACUCCGAAAGUAAAAAAAAAAGUAGUAAAUGAUUUCUGGAAGGUGGAGAUGAUAAAUUAAUUUCCAUUAAAUUAUUUUAAUUGUCCUUCUAUUAGCCGUCACACGUUCUAACUUUUAAUUCUUAUUGCAUAUAUUGCAUAGUCUUCUAUUUGCUGGGUGAUAUUCCAUCGCUGAACUUGUAAUAUAAUUUUUGUUUCUAAGUAAUCUGUAAUUGAUAGCUCAGUAUGACGCAUCCGUUAUACACGAUGGCUCUGCAAUAGGAACAUUACUCCAUUUGCGCUCACUGAAAGCAUUAGUUGACUAGAUAGUAAGUUCUUUUGGGAGAUCUUUAAUAUUCGACUUCUUUCAAGUUGUUUGUUUUCGAAUUUCAGAUCCCUACUGAGCAAUACGUUUUCGUGAUGCUGAAUCGUUUACGUGGCUUUUAGGUAGUACAUUUUUCUUUAGAUAUCGUUUUUACCACUUGACGGUUUUAAAAGAGAAAUUUAUAGUUGUUAC